UAACACGUGGGUGAUCUGCCCUGCACUUUGGGAUAAGCCUGGGAAACUGGGUCUAAUACCGAAUACACCUUGCUGGCUGCAUGGCUGGUGGGGGAAAGCUUUUGCGGUGUGGGAUGGGCCCGCGGCCUAUCAGCUUGUUGGUGGGGUGAUGGCCUACCAAGGCUGCGACGGGUAGCCGGCCUGAGAGGGUGUCCGGCCACACUGGGACUGAGAUACGGCCCAG
Molecule: ribosomal RNA, 223 nt
Filed under: uncultured bacterium
Lineage: Bacteria
Description: partial 16S ribosomal RNA
Rfam family: Bacterial small subunit ribosomal RNA
Source: RNAcentral